AAGCUUAUAAUUUAACGGUUAGAAUAAUUUUUAUUAUGAAGAAUCAGUAGAAGUUCAAAUCUUCUUGGGCUUA
RNAcentral lists this transfer RNA (73 nucleotides) under Amanita sinensis. RNAcentral describes it as "tRNA-Ile". It matches the Rfam family "tRNA". Rfam says of the family: Transfer RNA (tRNA) molecules are approximately 80 nucleotides in length. Their secondary structure includes four short double-helical elements and three loops (D, anti-codon, and T loops). Further hydrogen bonds mediate the characteristic L-shaped molecular structure. tRNAs have two regions of fundamental functional importance: the anti-codon, which is responsible for specific mRNA codon recognition, and the 3' end, to which the tRNAs corresponding amino acid is attached (by aminoacyl-tRNA synthetases). tRNAs cope with the degeneracy of the genetic code in two manners: having more than one tRNA (with a specific anti-codon) for a particular amino acid; and 'wobble' base-pairing, i.e. permitting non-standard base-pairing at the 3rd anti-codon position. The record is from RNAcentral. Lineage: Eukaryota; Fungi; Basidiomycota; Agaricomycetes; Agaricales; Amanitaceae.